Molecule: ribosomal RNA, 468 nt
Filed under: uncultured bacterium
Lineage: Bacteria
Description: partial 16S ribosomal RNA
Rfam family: Bacterial small subunit ribosomal RNA
Source: RNAcentral
GAUGAACGCUGGCGGCGUGCUUAACACAUGCAAGUCGAACGGACAGGUACUGCUUUUGUGGGGUGCACGAGUGGCGAACGGGUGUGUAACACGCGAGUAACCUGCACCUGUAUGUGGGAUAACUUCAGGAAACUGGGGAUAAAACAGGAUAGGAGCUACUGCUGCACGGUGGGGGAUGGAAAGUUUCGGCGGUUGGGGAUGGACUAGCGGCUUAUCCGCUUGUUGGUGGGGUAGUGGCUUACCAGGUCUUUGACGGGUAGCCGGCAUGAGAGGGUGACCGGCCACAUUGGGACUGAGAUACGGACCAGACUCCUACGGGAGGCAGCAGUGGAGAAUAUUGCACAAUGGGGCGAAGCCUGAUACAACAACGCCGCGUGCGGGAUGACGGCCUUCGGGUUGUAAACCGCUUUCGCCUGUGACGAAGCGUGAGUGACGGUAAUGGGUAAAGAAGCACCGGCUAACUACGUG